ACUCACAGGCCUUACAUGAAGCAAACUGACUCAUGAAGACUGUGGAAAGGAAAAUACCCCUCUCUGGAGCCCAGCACUGGCCUCCUUCAGAGAGCCACCAUGCUCCACAGUAUCCCUCAGGAGGCUCAGGUCAUCCUCUUGGGACCUUGGGCCAGGCUUGAACCCGGUGGCAUCCCAGAUUGCUUCAUCUCUGAAAAAUCUCAGGAAGACACCAUGACUGCUACAAAUUCCUGCAAGGAAAGAGAGCUGUGGCACAAAACGAGCAGAGCUUGGGUGCGAAGUUAAUCUCACAACCUCUCUAUGCCACCGACAUCUCUGACCAUCUCUUGAACUAGUCCUGGUAAUUUUGACUCCUGGCUCACACCAUACCAAAGAGAUCUCAGAACAGGUACUGCCUCCCUCUGCCCACAGUGUAUUUACAGAUUGAAUUUACUAUUUUCUCAUUGUGUGCCAAGAGUCCAUCUUCUGCCCGGCUCUUUGUCUCUACCUCUUCCCCAGCUGUUGCUAUCGCAUCAUCUCAUCAGCAUACGCUUUCAGUUCCCUUUGAGACUAUAUAAAGAGGUAUAAAAGAACAUAAAUUCACAUUUUUUUCCCCCUAAAUAUAUUAAAGACUUGACUACUUCUCAGCAUACUAAAACUAGAUUCAUACAAAGAGGCUUUGAAAAGGUCAAAUUCUGUGAUGAUCCAGUCUCUAACUACAUUAUAUUCAACUGUGCUUAUAUUCUUUUUGUGUUCAUUUUGUCAGGCUAUGCUAACAAAUGAGUUUGCUGAUAUUAUUUAUGGGAUGGUAAAUCUUACGUGCAACAACAUAAAAUUCAUACUAAUGAGCAGAAAUCCAUCACUGAUCUGUAUGUUCAGUCAAAACAAAAAUAGAUAUCUCGGACUGUGGAUAAAAAAUUCUUAAUAAGUACUGAAGAUACACAAUUUGAGGAUUAAAUUAUUCAUAAAAUUUCCACUGACUUCAAAUAAUAUGUAUAUUUGACAAAUCUGUAAGUCAUUUCUGGUUAAUCUGUAGAUGGGAAAAGUCGAAAAUUUCCAUAUAUGUGCUCCUUACAUUUUUUUUUUUAAAUAACAACCUCCUAAUUUUAUUGAAUUUAGAAUCUUGAAAGUUUCCUAAUGAAGCACACUUUGAUUAGUUUCAAGAUUGUAUCGCUCUCUAAAUUGGUUUACACUGAUAUGAUUUCACAGCUAUCAGUGGAGCUCAACUGAUUUAUUCUUGAUGAAGAUCUUGCCUGCAACAAGGUACUAAAAUGUAAGAGAUGGGCUGUGCAGGAAGUGCCACUGCUGGAAGUGUCUCCAAAGAAAUUCUGGCAGGUCCUGAUUAUCUAUGCAGACCUUGGAUUUGUCUCUUGGAUAGUGUCUGGCUUCCAGCAAAGCUGAGGAGUAUUCCUGUUCUAUAUUGGUGUGUGGGAAAAUCACAUUGACUGUACAGAUCAAUGGGUCAGACACAUAGAGGCCUUCUGUAUGCAGGCUAAAUAAAGAUCUGUUGAAAUGUGCCAUAUAACCCACGUUCAGAGAGCUGAAUUUCCCAGAAACAAGCUAGUAUUUCAACCAGCCCCUCGGUGUGAAUAACACUCAGUAUCUUCUGCUGGAAGUGACUGAAAGGAUCUAGCAUUUUCCUAGAAAAAUGACAAUCUACUAUUUGGGAGUUGCCAGAGAAUGAGGCUGUUUCCUGCAUUGAUUGAUGCUCUGAAAUGCUCACCCACAACCAACUCAAGGGUACUCCUUCCAAGAACACAAUGCUUGUGACUUUAGUGGAAAUGAGAGAUAAGGAGAAGAUCCUCCAGGCUGCCUGGAAAGAGAGAAGCAUUGAAUUCCAAGGGCAAGUGAUAACAAUUUCUCCAGACUUCAGCAAGAAGAUACAAGAAAGAAGGUAGAACUUUAAAAAGCCUUUGUAGAUUUUAAAUCCAAGCCUGUCGUCUCUUAUGAAAAUGGGAGUUCUACAUGAAAAUAAAGAUUACUCCUUCUGGGAUGCAGAUUGAGGGAAACAGUUUUUAACAGAUAUCACCUCCAUUGUUGCUGUGGGCCAUUUGGAUGGAUUAAUUCCUCGUGUUUUAAUGGCAGAGCCCAGGUAGCACAUCCUGGCAUUGUGUGCUCUGUGCACAGAAACCCUUGGGAGUUGCAAACUGUCCACGAAGUCUACUCCAUCAUGGGGACUGAGACAGAUGGCACAGCUGCCAAAGCUGGCAGGGCUGAGCAUCUGGUAAUGCAUUGAUUUAAAGCAGUUCUCAAGCAGCGUCCGCAGUGUUGUUGAACUGAGAUGAGCACAGUUCAGAGUUACUAUCCUGCUGGAGCCCAAGGGUGUUGCCACAGCCUCUUAUUGGAAGCAAGUACCAAAUGCUUUGGAAGGUGAAGAAAAGCAGCCUCCCUUCUGGGCAACCUGUCAGGAACUGCUGAUAUCAGGGAGGGAGUCAGAGCUGUGGAAGGUUACUGCUACCACUGUUUCACAGUGAAGUUUGGAUUCCUUUAGCAAAGCUCUUGUCAGGAUUUUAUUUUAUUUUUUGGCAUUGUCAGUGCUUUCUCUCUUUCUCUCCCUCCCUCUCUCUCUGUCUUGAAUAAACAAUGUCUGGUUUAAAUAUAA
Molecule: long non-coding RNA, 2581 nt
Organism: Gallus gallus (chicken)
Lineage: Eukaryota; Metazoa; Chordata; Aves; Galliformes; Phasianidae
Exons: 2
Source: RefSeq, a predicted model, not a curated record